Molecule: long non-coding RNA, 5886 nt
Filed under: Homo sapiens (human)
Lineage: Eukaryota; Metazoa; Chordata; Mammalia; Primates; Hominidae
Description: HSALNT0046658
Source: RNAcentral
GUAAAUGAUUGUUUAAUUGAAACAUUUUAAUAUAGGAGGCAUAAACGAGUAAUAAGGUUCAAAGUAGCUAUUUUCUGGUUACUGAAGUGACACUGACUGUGCCUGUCUCACACUGGUAUUAACUUCAUAUUGUGUUGGCAGAGAAAAGCUUUAACUGAUGUUAGUAUUACUGAAAUGGCCAGCAUGGUAUGGUAUUAGUAUGUCUCAGAAGCCAAAAAAAUAACGUGGCACAGAAACAACUUGUCCCAAGCUUCAAGGGGGGCAUGGGCUUUGGAGACCUGUAUUCUGUAUUAAAGGCUUCUAUGAAUAAACUUUCUGAGAGUCUUGAGGUUCCUGAAGGUUUUGUCCUUGUCUUGCUCCUCCUCUCCGUCUUUUUGACCCACUCAUCUACUUUAUAAUUUCCACAUCCACAAGACUCUCUAGCCUUAGUCUCUCCUAACACAGUCAAGUUCUUAUGUUGGGUAGGCAUUUCCAAUAGAAUACUCCAGAGAUAUCUUAAAAUAAACUUGCCAAAACAUAAACUAAUCACCAUUUCCUGACACCCGGCCAUUCUUUUUUUUUUUUUUUUUUGUCAAGACAAGGUCUUGCUCUAUUGUCCUUCAACCUCCUGAUGGGCUCAAGGAUUCCUAGCAGCUCAGCCUCCAGAGUAGCAGGGACCACUGGCUCACACCUCCAUGCCCAGCUAUUGGUCUCAAACUCCUGGCCUUAAAAGGUCCUCCCGCUUAGGCUUUCCCAAACUGCUGGAAUCACAGGUUUGAGCCACCACAAUGGGACCAUUCUCCAUCUUAUAGCCUCUAUUUCUGUUGGUUGCGUCAAUAUCACCUAAGCCCUCAAGUAGAAAGCUUACAAAUCUCAAUUCUUCUUUCUUCAUAGUCUACAUCUCCAACUUACUACUAGCACCUCUAGCUAUGCCAGCUUUAUAGACAGGCAACCUGUGCAGUCACACAGAGUCCCUUGCUUGGAAGGGUCCAGUGCUUCUCUGUGCUCUCAGUUGUUCUCUGCUCUGCAGUCAUCAUGAAUCACUUCUUAACAAGAAGCUCUGCAUUUUCUUGCACGAGGCCCUGCAAAUUACAGAGCCAGUCCCGUCUCCCAUGUCCUUCAUCCUCUGUAAAAUAUGUGUUAGCCUCUAAUCAUGCCAUUAAAUUUCUCACUUCCCUAUCUUUGUGUUCAUUUUCCCUCUGCUGAGAAUGUUCCAUUUGCUGAUCAAAUCCUCAAAUACACAUUUAGCUGACUUUGUAAUUUAUAAAUUUAAUAACUUAAUAAAGUUUGUCUCCCUCACUAGAGCAAAAACUUUAAGUUAGGAAUUAUGUCUACUUGGCUUGCUAUUCUAUCACUAGUAUACCUAGCAGAUAGUAGGUGUCAAAAAACAUUUUGUCAAAUUAAUGUGCAUAGCAGUAUUAGGUAAACACACGGCAUAGAAAUUUUAAAAAACUCAAAAAUGUACAUAUCCUGAUGUCAAAAUAUUAUUCUCUCUACCCUCUUCAAUAUAAUGGUUUAUGUUGGUUAUACUGAUUCAUGGUACUUCAUAUUGCAUUGAAUGAAACUGCAACUAUUUUAGGUAUUUCUGAAGAUUUCUAAAAAUUAUUAGGUAGUGUCUUUGUUUAGAUUGUAUGUCUCAGUUUUUCCCUGAAGACGCUAUUGAGCAGAUGAGAAUUUAAGGGAACUAAUGCCAAAGGUACCAAACAAAACUUUAUGAAGAGUAAAUACUACUUUCCUCAUAUAUACAUUAACACAAAUUAAAAAGUUUUAUAACUAUGCAACUGGGAUCCAUAAAAAUAUUUUCCUAUAUCAAACUGGGCUUCAAACAUUAUUUUUAAGUAUAUACCCUCAAGACAGCCACUUGAGCAUACAAUAACUCUUGCAUCAUCACGAAGCAAAACCAAAAGACAAUACCACUCUAGCAGUCUAUAUAGAAUUAUGAAGAUCUUAUUAACUAUUUUUAGCUUCUGUUCUUUUCAUAAUGGCCUUUGGAACAUUGAUUCUUCCACAUUCUAACUGCCUAAGCGUCAGUUUCCUCAUCUAUAAAAUGGUAUAGUAAUGGUACCCACAUCAUAGUGUAAUUAAAAAGAUUAAAUGAAAUGAUCUAUGUGAAACACUUAGCAUAAUGUUUGCCAACUUGUGAGUAUCCAAUAAAUCUGAACAAUAAUAACUACUCAAAACUUCAUUAGGGUCUAGAAAUCACAGAAAUAGAAAUAAAAAUGACAAAGUAGUACAAAGGUCUAGCUGGAAGGCAAAACUCAAAGAUUAAAGAGUGUCUGUGUCUGUCAGGCAGUUUUACUGGUUCUCAUUAGCUACUUUCUGGCACGUUUUUCUUCCUAUACUUCUGCCACUUUGAUAGCCAGGCAAAAUUACACCUCCAAUGUAAUCAGAUAAGGAAUGCGAAAGGAACCGUUACAAUUAAUCUGACUGAAAAGUAGACAUGGACGAUAAAUGUGCAGUACACCCUCAGGACCACAAACACUUUACAUUUAUCUGUAUUUAUCCACAUGUCAAUUAAGGAACCAACUUGCUGUAAGUCUUUUAAUAAGAAGUAUUCAUUUCCAACUAAAGUUGCCAAAUUCCUAUAAUUCAAAUCUGUAUUUGCUGGUGACUUUUAAAUGAUAAGAAAACAUGUUUUUAAAAGCAAUGUUCCCUUCUUGAAUAUUUCCACUUUAUUGCUUUUGAAUCGCUCAAGUUGAAAUGAGACAAUUAAAUGCUGUGUCUUUUUUUGUUCAGAGGCGAGAUGAAGGUAAUUUGCUGCUUCAUGCAUCUGUUUCCUCAUCAGCACAGUGAGGACUAGGCUAAUUAGGGGAUGAAAACAAUAUGGUCAUAUGGAUAGGCCAGAUUGCUUGUCACUCAGUUAUUCAAUAUGUGGGCUCUGUUUUGAGGACAGGAAACAGAUAAUGAUUCUCUGGCAUCUCUCUUGCAAUGUGUGAAAAGAAAGAACAGGGAAGUGUUCAGAUGUUUACCUGCUUAUUUUUAGCCUUCAUCCUAGAAAUAAUCUUAUUGGGCUGUGUCAUUCAUUUUGUCUUUACAAGAAUAAUCUUUAUUAGAAAGCUUUGACCAUGGCCAGUAACAUCCAAAGAGAAUGCAAGAACCCAAUCAACUAACUUGAGUUCUGUUCAACUCAUUCAAGUUCAUUAUUCUGUAAUAUUCUAUGGGCCAGAAAAAUUUUGUCCAAACACAAGUAAAUGUGCCCCAAUUUCAGAAAGUCUAAUUUACCUAAAUAGAUUUAGCAAGAAAAAAAUUAACAUUUGAAAGUAUGAGAUUAAUUACAGAGCUUGUACCAGGCAUGUUUUCUGGUACCAGUCUGUCCUCAGUCAUUUAUAACGGGGAGAAUUCAGACUCAAGGACAGCCUUUCCCAGGCCUGGCUUGGAAAGGUGAAUUAGUACAACUAGAUUCUCUUUCAGCUAUUUGAACUACGAAAUCCCAAAGAAAGUUGAAAAUAUGCAUUGAGAGUUUCAUAGGUAAGCACAAGCAAAAGUUAUGAAUAAAUAUAAAAUAUAAGUGAGCGAGAGUAUUCAGUGAUAGAAGUCUAGAACAGAUGCACAGAAAUAAGCAGAAACAUUCUGAGACAGAGAGAGAGAUGAGGAAAGGGAAAGAACAAUUCCUAUUUCUGAAAGCUUUAGGUUCCCAUUGUCCUGAAAGUUCCAGGUCCCUGAUGCCAGGAAGCCUAUAAAUAUCAGUUCCAAUGGGCCUGACCAUUCUCUAACUGCACCCUAAAUUUCACUUACAGCAUUGCUAUGCUUUUGUUGUAUCAUUAUUGCCCCACUGGGCACUAUGCCAAGCCCUUCAUUCCACAAAGUGUCAUAUAUUUAGGGAUGUUUGUAUGGCUGACUCUAUUAAAAUCUGGAACCAGAAUGAUUGUUACAUUACAGCCAAUAACUUCAAUGCCAGGCAUCCCUAUUCUUAAAAUUUCUCAGUCAUUCUUAUCAUAAAGGAACUUCUAUUCAUUAUCUUCUCUACUUAAGCCCCAUCUUCCUGCCAUGUUGACAGACUCCCUUUAUCUCCCCUGAUUGCCUCUUUAAAGCCCCCAAUUCCUUAUAGAUCUCUUAGAGCUACCUCUUUCUCUCUCUUUCUCUUUCUCUUUCUCAUAGCCACCCAGGCUAUGACCAGGGCAUCCUAUACUUGUAAACCAUGAAGGAUACCAAUUAAACCAUGCUCUGAAACAUAGUACCUUGUACCCCCAAGAGGACUUCUUAAUUUGCAAUUUAAGAAAAGCAACUUUUUAUAAACACAAGAGCACCCAAUAUUGAGUACUUACUGUGCGCCGAGCACUACGCUUGAAAGUCAUUAACUCAUUAAAUUCCUCUCUCUCUCUUAGUAUGAAGGUUCUAUUAACAUCCCUACUUUAAUGAUUAAAAUUUGUGUGCAGCUCACAAUAUUAGGAAGUAACAGCAUCUGAACUAGAACCAAAAUAUCCACUCACAAUCACCGUAAUUCUGCCUGUCUGGUUGCCCUACAUGUAACAUUACAACAAAGCUGUGUGCUGAUGAUAGAAAAUGCAUUUAAAAUUUAUCUGAGAUAUAUGUUUGGUGGAAACCAUUAGCUCUAAAACUGGCAAGAGACUAGAAUUGAAAGAGGUAGCACACAGAGAGGUUCUGAUGAAAGUGAAUGUCAUUUUAACAGAGGACUUCAUGAUGAUUGCUGCCUAAUGGUAGGUCAUGGCCUCACAAAGAAAAUCUCCAAUGUACAUUCCUGCAUUUAUGAUAAUUCUACUUUUUUCUGUUAUGUUGACAAACAAAAAAAAGUCCUAUACGUAUUUCUUCAUAUUUGAACUUCUCAAUUAAAGCACCAUUAAAUUCUCACUUUUAACUCUUGUGGGAAUUAAUUAUUACUUAGAUGAAGAACUUAUUUUCAACUCUGUCUCUAGGCAAGUGAACAACCUCAAAGGAAGAUGGUACUUAAAAUACCUGAUAACAAUUUAUAAAAAAUAUUUUAUCUAUUCAAUAAAAUAUGACAUUUCAUUGAACAUCUAUGUAAAACAAAGACUCCUGUUACUUGUGAAAUUGGACCUUAUUAAUAUAUGUAUACUAUCAAGUACACUUUACUGGAAAGAAACAGUAUGUAAAAAGCUUGGCACAUUGAAAAAACCAAAAAGAGGCCAGUGUGGCUGUAGCACAGGAAAGAGGAGCAAAAGAAAGAUAAGAAGGCACCAGAUUAUGGAUGCAAGGCUUUCUCGGCCACGAUGGAGAUUUUGGAUACUGUUUAAAGAAACAAAUAUAAAACUUCUAAGGAUAGCUUGAUAGUAUUUUCCUUGAGUCUUGAAAUAAGAACUAAAGAGCUACUCUAUUCUUAUCCCAGCCAUUCAAAGAUAGUGCCUCCUUAUAUAAUGUGUGCCAUGCAGCAUGUAAGUAUCAUGUCUGUGAAUUGAAUUGUAGUGUGCUGUUGCUUGUGCCAAUAGCAGGGAGACACCGCAGCAAGGCAAACAAGCAAGCCAUAUGUGCUGUUGGCAACAUUGACACACUGUACAGUUAUGGCAUAUGCCUUGAGUAUCUCAAAAUUAUGUUGUUGGUAGUUUCAUUGCUAUAUUUGAUUAUGUAUUUAAGUUUAUUUGAAGGCUUUUAAAAGGAAAUGAUUUCACACUACUAAUCUUAUGAUUAUGCACUUAGCAGCUAAUAACAAUGUGCUAUUUGCUGGAAGGAAUAUAUGUUUGUAGACAAGUUUCCUGAAUUAGCUUUUUAAUUUACAUAAACAUAAUUGCCCUCUCAAUUUUAAAGCCUUUAAAAUUUUGUCAUUUUGAACAAAAUUUAGUAUGCUGAUGUAAAGUCACUUUAAACAUCUAUUCUAAAACCUUGACUAAUGUUGGAUUAAGUGUACAUGUGUGCAUACAACACAUAUAUACAUAUAAAUACACAUGUGAGUUAUAGGUAUUGUAUUAUAUAUCUCUUUAUAUCACAUUUAUG